This 231-nucleotide unclassified non-coding RNA is filed under the name uncultured fungus. Its description in RNAcentral is "sequence contains ITS1, 5.8S rRNA gene". The stretch from base 183 to 231 matches the Rfam family "5.8S ribosomal RNA", at positions 1 to 49 of the family's 154-position model. The record is from RNAcentral. Lineage: Eukaryota; Fungi.
UCUCCGUAGGUGAACCUGCGGAGGGAUCAUUACCGAGUGAGGGCUCACGCCCGACCUCCAACCCUUUGUGAACCCAUCUUGUUGCUUCGGGGGCGACCCUGCCGGCACUCUGUCGCCGGGCGCCCCCGAAGGUCUCCCAACACUGCAUCUUUGCGUCGGAGUAUUGAAAGCAAAUCAAUCAAAACUUUCAACAACGGAUCUCUUGGUUCUGGCAUCGAUGAAGAACGCAGC